RNAcentral lists this ribosomal RNA (230 nucleotides) under uncultured bacterium. RNAcentral describes it as "partial 16S ribosomal RNA". It matches the Rfam family "Bacterial small subunit ribosomal RNA", at positions 561 to 791 of the family's 1533-position model. The record is from RNAcentral.
UAAAGCGUGCGCAGGCGGUUUGUAAGACUGUCGUGAAAUCCCCGGGCUCAACCUGGGAAUGGCGAUGGUGACUGCAAGGCUAGAGUUUGGCAGAGGGGGGUAGAAUUCCACGUGUAGCAGUGAAAUGCGUAGAUAUGUGGAGGAACACCGAUGGCGAAGGCAGCCCCCUGGGUCAAAACUGACGCUCAUGCACGAAAGCGUGGGGAGCAAACAGGAUUAGAUACCCUAGU